Camelina sativa (false flax) is the source of this 1554-nucleotide long non-coding RNA. RefSeq lists it as uncharacterized. The record is from RefSeq and is a predicted model, not a curated record. NCBI's taxonomy places the organism in Eukaryota, Viridiplantae, Streptophyta, Magnoliopsida, Brassicales, Brassicaceae.
ACGAGAAAACUCUCUCCCUCUUUCUCUCUUUCUCUCUUUCUCUCUUUCUCGUUUCUCGUCUCGCUUCUCUCUUUACUCUGGAAAAAUCCUAACAUUUGUUGAUGUGUAAUCGAGUUCAUCUUCUGCAGGAAUCAAUGGAUGGUAUUUGGAACUUCAUCAUAGACAAAGGUAAACUGUCUUGUAUCUUGAUUCUUGAGCAAAGCUUGAAACCGUUUUGUAACUAACCUCUUGAGAAUCCUUACAGCUUAUUCUUAAAAUUUCUUAAGUACUUUUGAUUUUGCAAAAAACCAAAAAAAAAAGUGCAGAUUUGAUUCACGUUUUGAUGAAAUUGGUGUUAAUUUGAUGGUAUGAUAUCAAAUUCAUCAAACUUGAAUCAAAUCAAAUUGGUGAGAGAUCUCUGUUUAGGUUUUAUUGUUGUUGGUGCUUGAUUGAUUGAAGAAACUGAGAGAGGUGUUUUUGUCUACUUACGUGGUCCGGAGAGUAAAGGCAUUGACCUAAGCCACAAGCCUCGUACUUACAACAACAAUUCAGAUCAAGCCGAGGGUGUUUCAUUCCCCGUUGCUUCACGGGAAUACGGCAUUGGAGCACAAGGAUCUUGGAGUUAGAGAGAUGAUGGUGAUGACAAAUAAUCCAGCACAUUACGUUGGUCUUAAAGGCUAUGGUUUAUCAAUUUCUGGCAAGGUUCCACUCAUUAGUCCGACCUAGUCCCUAAGUGUUUUUUUUUAGUUGGUGAAAAAUAUGACCGUUGUUUGAUCUCGUUAAGUUACGACAUAUGUUUGAAGUUGUGAGUGACUUUAGUUUGUUGUUAGUUGUGUUUUGGUGCCUAAACCAUGUGUUUUUGUUUUCUUCACCUCCAUAAUUGUCAUUAGAAUAAUUUUAAAUGGUAUCUUCUAAUUGACUUACGACUUUGAGAAAGCUUCUACAUUCCCUUUGGUCAGAUUGUUAGCAGGAGGGAUCGCCGGUUACAAGGAGGAUCAUCAACCCUGCUUUUCACAUCGAGAAGAUCAAGAUAUUGCUUCUCUCUGCUGCCUGCACCAGUUAAGACUGUAAUAUGUAAUGAUCUUUUAGUUACCUUGUUUUUUUGGUUACAGAACAUGGUCCCUGCGUUCUAUCAUUGUUGCAGCGAGGUUGUCUGCCAAUGGGAGAAGCUAUUUACAGAUAAAGAAUCGUCUCUUGAAGUCGAUGUUUGGCCUGGCUUGUGAAUAUGACUGCGGAUGUGAUCUCACAUACUGCUUUUGGAAGCAGAUAUAAAGAAGGGCAGAAGAUAUUUCAACUACAAGGAGAAAUGGCUGAGCUCAUUGCACAAGCUUUUAAGAAAUCUUACAUCCCUGGAUUGAGGUUUUACCCAACAAAGAGCAAUAGAAGGAUUAAAGCAAUAGAUUUGAUUUGAAUACAUCAUUGACAUAAGUUUCAGAAGCUUUUGUCGUAUGAGCUCAGCUUCAAUGUCUAUUUUUUUUCUUCUAAAAUUAACAAAAGUGUGAUCGAGUGAAAACUGAAAUGUGAUUCUUCACAUGACGUUGAAUCAAGCUGUUUUUUUUUUUACUUUCCUUACUA